UGAGCUCGAUGAGUAGGGCGGGACACGUGGUAUCCUGUCUGAAUAUGGGGGGACCAUCCUCCAAGGCUAAAUACUCCUGACUGACCGAUAGUGAACCAGUACCGUGAGGGAAAGGCGAAAAGAACCCCGGCGAGGGGAGUGAAAAAGAACCUGAAACCGUGUACGUACAAGCAGUGGGAGCACAGGUUUACCUGUGUGACUGCGUACCUUUUGUAUAAUGGGUCAGCGACUUAUAUUCUGUAGCAAGGUUAACCGAAUAGGGGAGCCGGAGGGAAACCGAGUCUUAAUUGGGCGUUAAGUUGCAGGGUAUAGACCCGAAACCCGGUGAUCUAGCCAUGGGCAGGUUGAAGGUUGGGUAACACUAACUGGAGGACCGAACCGACUAAUGUUGAAAAAUUAGCGGAUGACCUGUGGCUGGGGGUGAAAGGCCAAUCAAACCGGGAGAUAGCUGGUUCUCCCCGAAAGCUAUUUAGGUAGCGCCUCGUGAAUUCAUCUCCGGGGGUAGAGCACUGUUUCGGCUAGGGGGCCAUCCCGGCUUACCAACCCGAUGCAAACUGCGAAUACCGGAGAAUGUUAUCACGGGAGACACACGGCGGGUGCUAACGUCCGUCGUGAAGAGGGAAACAACCCAGACCGCCAGCUAAGGUCCCAAAGUCAUGGUUAAGUGGGAAACGAUGUGGGAAGGCCCAGACAGCCAGGAUGUUGGCUUAGAAGCAGCCAUCAUUUAAAGAAAGCGUAAUAGCUCACUGGUCGAGUCGGCCUGCGCGGAAGAUGUAACGGGGCUAAACCAUGCACCGAAGCUGCGGCAGCGACGCUUAUGCGUUGUUGGGUAGGGGAGCGUUCUGUAAGCCUGUGAAGGUGUGUCGUGAGGCAUGCUGGAGGUAUCAGAAGUGCGAAUGCUGACAUAAGUAACGAUAAAGCGGGUGAAAAGCCCGCUCGCCGGAAGACCAAGGGUUCCUGUCCAACGUUAAUCGGGGCAGGGUGAGUCGACCCCUAAGGCGAGGCCGAAAGGCGUAGUCGAUGGGAAACGGGUUAAUAUUCCCGUACUUGGUGUUACUGCGAAGGGGGGACGGAGAAGGCUAUGUUGGCCGGGCGACGGUUGUCCCGGUUUAAGCGUGUAGGUGUGUGUUCCAGGUAAAUCCGGUUCACUUUAACACUGAGGCGUGAUGACGAGGCACUACGGUGCUGAAGCAACAAAUGCCCUGCUUCCAGGAAAAGCCUCUAAGCAUCAGGUAACAUCAAAUCGUACCCCAAACCGACACAGGUGGUCAGGUAGAGAAUACCAAGGCGCUUGAGAGAACUCGGGUGAAGGAACUAGGCAAAAUGGUGCCGUAACUUCGGGAGAAGGCACGCUGACACGUAGGUGAAGUGAUUUACUCAUGGAGCUGAAGUCAGUCGAAGAUACCAGCUGGCUGCAACUGUUUAUUAAAAACACAGCACUGUGCAAACACGAAAGUGGACGUAUACGGUGUGACGCCUGCCCGGUGCCGGAAGGUUAAUUGAUGGGGUCAGCGCAAGCGAAGCUCCUGAUCGAAGCCCCGGUAAACGGCGGCCGUAACUAUAACGGUCCUAAGGUAGCGAAAUUCCUUGUCGGGUAAGUUCCGACCUGCACGAAUGGCGUAAUGAUGGCCAGGCUGUCUCCACCCGAGACUCAGUGAAAUUGAACUCGCUGUGAAGAUGCAGUGUACCCGCGGCAAGACGGAAAGACCCCGUGAACCUUUACUAUAGCUUGACACUGAACAUUGAGCCUUGAUGUGUAG
RNAcentral lists this ribosomal RNA (1760 nucleotides) under Salmonella enterica subsp. enterica serovar Paratyphi B var. L(+) tartrate +. RNAcentral's name for it is "partial 23S ribosomal RNA". It matches the Rfam family "Bacterial large subunit ribosomal RNA", at positions 400 to 2141 of the family's 2925-position model. The record is from RNAcentral. Lineage: Bacteria; Pseudomonadati; Pseudomonadota; Gammaproteobacteria; Enterobacterales; Enterobacteriaceae.